AGUCAAGACCAGUCCAUUCAAGACAUUGACGUUGGGUUUUGGGAUUAACAUCACGGUACGAAGACGAAGAUUUGGAGGGGAGAAAAAUGGUUUGGUCAACUUCCGGAAUCAGAAAGUCAAGCCACAUCUGUUAAUCACUGUGACCAGUAGAAAGGACCAUAGCGCCCGCGGAACUGUAGGAGCUAGUGUAGAUUGGAAAUCUUUUGCUAAAGACUCGUUUUCAAGAUAUAUGAAUAUAUGUUUUGCUUUUGGCUGCAUCCAUGGACCCUUAUGUAUAAUAUUUUAGGCUUGUGAUCUUCGUGUUUUAUAUAUAUGAAAUAAAAUAUGUUUGAUAUUCGUGACA
Brassica rapa (field mustard) is the source of this 343-nucleotide long non-coding RNA. RefSeq lists it as uncharacterized. The record is from RefSeq and is a predicted model, not a curated record. Lineage: Eukaryota; Viridiplantae; Streptophyta; Magnoliopsida; Brassicales; Brassicaceae.